Zonotrichia leucophrys gambelii is the source of this 815-nucleotide long non-coding RNA. RefSeq lists it as uncharacterized. The transcript is spliced from 2 exons. The record is from RefSeq and is a predicted model, not a curated record. NCBI's taxonomy places the organism in Eukaryota, Metazoa, Chordata, Aves, Passeriformes, Passerellidae.
GAGUCAGAUAGCUGCUGUAAGGAUUAGAAACAGUCAGUGCUCAGAGGAGCUGCCUGUGAGAAACAUCAAGGGGGUCUCCUAGCAGGUCAGAAGAGACCAGAAAACAACCUGUGGCUAUGGUGAAGUGGCCACUAUUUUAACAUCAACAUUCAAAUAACUGGCCAAAGCUAUAAUUUCUCACAGCACUUUUCAAAGGCAGCCCUUUAAAAUCAAGUGAGCUACUGUGUCACCCCUGCCAUGGCCAUUUGACUGCCUCUCAGUAGCUCAUGGACAGCUCUGGAUACUCCAGCUCUCAGUGUGGACAUUGGUGAUGAGAAAAGAGCAGCAGGAAAGCUUAUUGGGGAUCUCUUUUCCUAGGAUGAGGAGCCAAAUUUAAGUUCGGACCCUUGCCUUAGCCAUGUUGUGGAUGUGCCUGGUCACUGAUCCUGUGCUUCCCUGGCUGAUAGAUCCUCUCGCUUGACCUCGAAUCUGGCUAGUCUCUGUGGUCAGGCUUGGUGGUCCCUGGAUGGCAGCUGUCCCCCUGUUGCUGGCCUGGCUCUCCUUAGGUGCCAUGGAGCUGUCAGGGAAGUCCCUGCCUGCCUCACCAUCUCCCUUAUCCCCAGUCGUGGUGGAGCAGCCAUGCUUCUCCAUGCUGAUGAGGGCUGCACACAGUCCUCAGGGCGUGGGUAAUAAGCAGCUUUUUUCUUCCAGUGCUUUUUGGUACUCUUGCCAGGUAUUGCCCUUGUAUAAAUAAUCACAGUGUUAACACUGAAACAUGACUAAGCAAGCUAAUAGGCAUUCUGUUUUGAAACAAGAAUUAAAAACAUUGGUUUUGA